Molecule: ribosomal RNA, 1430 nt
Filed under: Sthenoteuthis oualaniensis
Lineage: Eukaryota; Metazoa; Mollusca; Cephalopoda; Oegopsida; Ommastrephidae
Description: 16S ribosomal RNA
Rfam family: Bacterial large subunit ribosomal RNA (bases 983-1430)
Source: RNAcentral
UAUGAGUGUAGUUAAGUGUAAACUAAUUUUGGGGAGGUAUAUAAAUAGUAAGAGAUUUAAAACAGUACUGUACAAGGGUCAUGUUGUAAUGAAAUUGUGUUUUAAGAUUGUUUUGUUAAUAUAAAAGUGUUUGCUAGAUUAAUUUAUAUAAAUUUAAAUAGAUUAAAUCGUUUUUUUAGAUAGUAUAAGUAGUAUAGAAAUUUAUGUUGUGUUAAAGUACUGUAAAGGAAAAAUAGUUUUGAUUUAAUUUAAGAAUAGUAGAGAUUAAGUCUCGUACCUUUUGUAUAAUGGAUUGAUGAUUUUUAGUAUUAUAUAAUAUAUUCUCGAAGUGAAAGGAUUUACUUAAUAAGUAUAUGUUAACGUUGUAUAGUUAUAUAUUGAUUUUUAAGUGGUAAUGAUAUGUUUAUCGAUUUUCAUGAUAGCUAGUUUAUUAGUGAGUAUAUUUAAGUAUUGUAAUGUUAAGACAGUGUAAGUUGUUUAAUAUUAGUUUAUAGUAUGGGGGAUAAGCUUCAUAUAAUUGUAUAGAGAAUGUUAAAUAUUAUUAGGUAAUUUAAGUAGAAUUAAUAACGUUUUUCUUUAAAAGUAGUUUAAAUUAUAAUAGUGUUAAUUUUAAUCUCAUGUUGUAUAACUAAUAAAUGCUUAUGAAUUUAUAAGUAAGUAAAUAUAAUGUUAAUAUGAGUAUUGGUCGGAAUUUUAAUAGUUAAUAUAUUUAAAGAUGUUGUAGUUGUGAAUGGUUUAUAUUAAGAGAAAGUUAAAUAAGAUGAAGGAAUUCGGCAAAUAUUAAUCUCGCCUGUUUAUCAAAAACAUGUCUCUUUGUGAAAUAUAGAUAAAGAGUCGGGCCUGCUCGGUGAAUAAGUUUUUAACAGCUGCGGUAUUUUAACUGUACUAAGGUAGCAUAAUAAUUUGCCUUAUAAUUUGAGGCUAGAAUGAAUGGUUUGACGAAGGUUAAUCUGUCUCCAUCUUAUUUUUUAGAAUUUAAUUUUUAAAGUGAAAAAGCUUAAAUUUUUUAAAGGGACGAGAAGACCCUAAUGAGCUUAUAAUUUUAUUAUUGUUGUUUAAAACAUUUGAUCAACGGUAUAUAAAUUUUAAUUGGGGUGAUUGAGGAAUAAGUUGGAUAAAGUAACUUCCUUAAAUUAAAUGUUUAUAGAUAAAGUAACCAAUAUAAUAUUGCUUAUAAUAUAGUUACCAUAGGGAUAACAGCGUAAUUUGUUUAGAGAGUUCUUAUUGAAAAACGAGAUUGCGACCUCGAUGUUGGAUUAAAGUAACCUUAAGGUGCAGAAGCUUUAAUAAGGUAAAUCUGUUCGAUUUUUAAUACUUUACAUGAUCUGAGUUCAGACCGGCGUGAGCCAGGUUGGUUUCUAUCUUUUAAAAUGAGUGUUGCUUCUUUUAGUACGAGAGGACCAAGGAAUGCUAAAAUUUAUUAUUAUAAU